This 367-nucleotide ribosomal RNA is filed under the name uncultured organism. Its description in RNAcentral is "bacterial LSU rRNA". It matches the Rfam family "Bacterial large subunit ribosomal RNA", at positions 2099 to 2465 of the family's 2925-position model. The record is from RNAcentral.
CUUUACUGUAGCUUUACAUUGGACUUUGAACAGAUCUGUGUAGGAUAGGUGGGAGGCUUUGAAGCAUGAACGCUAGUUUGUGUGGAGCCGACGUUGAAAUACCACCCUGGUGUGUUUGAGGUUCUAACCUUGGCCCGUUAUCCGGGUUGGGGACAGUGUAUGGUGGGCAGUUUGACUGGGGCGGUCUCCUCCCAAAGUGUAACGGAGGAGUUCGAAGGUACGCUAGAUACGGUCGGAAAUCGUGUUGAUAGUGCAUUGGCAUAAGCGUGCUUGACUGCGAGACUGACAAGUCGAGCAGGUACGAAAGUAGGACAAAGUGAUCCGGUGGUUCUGUAUGGAAGGGCCAUCGCUCAACGGAUAAAAGGUA